CUGUUCGAGCGUCAUUAUAACCCAUCUAGCUUAGCUAGGUCUUGGGCCUUGCCUCUAGGCGGGCCUUAAAUCCAGUGGCGGUGCUGUCAGGCUCUAAGCGUAGUAAAUAUUUCGCUAUGGAGUCCUGGUGGAUGCUAGCCAGCAACCCCUAAACUUUUCAGGUUGACCUCGGAUCAGGUAGGGAUACCCGCUGAACUUAA
Molecule: unclassified non-coding RNA, 200 nt
Filed under: soil metagenome
Description: partial contains internal transcribed spacer 2 and large subunit ribosomal RNA
Source: RNAcentral